UAUUUCUUUCCAUUGUUUCCUUUGUAUCACUGAGUGCUCUAAUGAUGAAACUGCUUUGUUUUUUCUAUUUCUCUCUGUCAAAAAUUGAGCAUGUUUCCAUGGCAACCACACGGCCGUUAGCCAGCUGUCCUAAGUGAGAUAACGUAUCAGGCAGAAUUGAGAGCGAGUUCUAUAAAUUCCCCCUUGGAUUAAGAAAAGCAGUUGUGUGCGUUGUGUGGAGGUGUGUGUUUACCUGCGUCACACCCAGUGGGCCUCAUUCAGCACGACUUCUUCACAUUGGCAGAUUUGAUCGGAUUACAGGACUCAGGACUCAGGAAACUUCGCUCUGAAAUUUUGCAUUUAACCGUCGACGGCACCAGCAGCCGCCUCUCACUGCCUGCCAGGGAGCACACGUCUCGUACGGCCAACCAGCGAGUCCUUCUGCCGCUGUGAUCCGUGUACAGAGGGCAUCAUCUACCACACGCGUGCUCUUCGCCGUCAAGGUACUGAAGCACACGCAUACAAGAAUGCAGAAUUCGACAUUUCAAAAUCGAUUGCUGGCUUCAUCGGGAGAUGAGGGUCCGUGGCCUCAGGGCGGCAGGGAAACUCAUCAAGGUGAGCUCGUAAAGAUAAAUGAGAGUGACAAAAAUUGUGACCUAAAUGCUAAAAGGAACCUGCGAGGCAACGGCCAGCUAAAUGUCACAUCUGCACGGCAGCUCAGCGAGACCACAGGCUGCUGCUGCUGCUGCUGCUGCUCUGCUCUUCCAUAAUAAAGCAACUGUCUGAGUACUGGCAAACAAUAGCGGCUGUCACAAUGUCAGCCGGGUGCGUCUCCGCCAGCUGACAACGGACACCACAGGCAUCGCUUGGAUGGGAGUUUGACCAUGUGUGUUGGGGAGAGAUAGUCAACCUGGACCCUUUCUCGGCUUUCCUCUUUGUCCAUUUCUUUAAAAAGACCACAAAAUCCCUCUUUGUUCAAAGACUUUCAGAAUUAUGUGGAGGGACGUCUCGUCUUUUGUACUUUGUUAUUUCUUGGAUUGGCCGACGUGCUCCUAGUUUUCAACUGCUUGUGCGAGUUGAAAACUAGGAGCACACGGCGAGUUUGGAAAACUUUUACUUUGAGGGAAAAGACUGUUGAUUUUGGCUGCUUUCUGAAACGCUGUUUGUUUUUUCAGGCAUUCGUACAUAACUGGCAUCAUUUCCCACAUAGAUUUUUUUCUGAAUUACAGGGAGGAUAUUGGAUAAAAAUGGUGACCAAAUGUGACAAUUAUUGAGGGAUUAUGCGUCAUCAUUGACAUUUUUUUGUGGUUGUAUUCAUUAUCUGGUGAAUUACUCCCUUUUUAGCACCUAAUCAAGCCGCCACGGAUUAGCUUCAGCUCGUGUAAAAUGUAUUUCAUGCUCCAGCUUCCAUGAAAGUGGCACAACAGACCAGGAAAUGUGCCACUGGCAUGUAAAUAAAUCUGCGUGUGGGCAUAAAAAGUAAUGGUGUCGAGCUUCUAUAGCGUAGAAUACAACUCCACUUCAAAAUCUACAAAAAUAAAAGGAGUGAAAAACAUUUCAGUCCAAACAUUGCAUUCCCGCAGCCGCUUUCUUUCGGUUUCACGUUACACAGAAAAGAUGCACUGUGGCCGACCUUUAACCGGUGAGAGAAUUGAGCGAUCCACCGGCCCUAUUUAUAUGGAGAACAGCUCCUUAUUAAUAUGUUAAUACCUGUCAAUUCUUCCCCGCUUUGCAUUAAAGAGAGCAGUAGCUUGACCUUUGCCGACAACCUGCCAACAGAGUCAAGCCGGCCUAAUUAAAGAAAGUUGUUUUGCGUCAAUUGCCUGUUGAUCCGGGGGAGCACCAAGAGCUCCAAAUAAUUCACUUAUGUGUCAAGUUUUUUAAAGGAAAUGUUCACCAACUUGAAAGAUUUCUCUGCAGUGGGGAAUCACACCGACAGUUGAUACUCAGUUGGUGUUUAUUUCAGGGUUUAACCAGCUUCACUUUGGCCAGCAGGUGGGAAGCAAAACAGACGCUGAAGAGUUCAUGGAAUAAAACUGAAACCUACACCGUUCGUUUAAUCACACACUCACAACCCAACGAGCUAUAUCCUCAGGGGAAAUGUAAAUGGUGAAUGUCUGAUUUACUUACUCCGUUGAUGUCCCAGAAAAUCCUUAUUUAAAGAAACUAAGCCAGUCAACUACGAGAUAAUUGACCAUAAAACAUUUUAUGCUGAAGUAAAGAAAACGGACUGUGGAUCAUUAGUUACAGUAAGGAUUGUUGCUGGUGUGCUACUUCAUGACAAUUCAAACCCAUGAAUGCAGAUGGGAUUUUCAUUUGAGAAACGUCCUGUUUGAACUGUGUGAGGAAUAAAGUUCUGGGAUGGAUACAUGUGAUGGGCAGGAUUUAAGCCACACAAAUCUAAUACAUUCAUCUUUGCUUUCAUUAAUAAAUGAAAGGACGCCAUUAUAUGGGUUUGGUUUAAGAGCUUUAAUUGUCAAUGUACAGAGUCGGUGCAUGGGCUUAGUUAUUUGGCAAAAGGUUAAAACAUUAAAAUUUCACUUGGAUAAAAUAUGAUUUAUAGAAAAAUAGCACAAUUGUUAAAGUUCAUUUUGAAGUUAUGAUAACCAAAUGGUUAGUACCCGGGGUGCUGUGGGAAGGGACCAGCUGGGUGACAAAGAGGUCAAACAGGAAGUUGAUCUGCUUUAUGGGAAUCCUACAGGAAAUUGGACUGUGCCAACUGUGAUGCGUUAGAGCGAACAUUAGGAAAUGUGAUGUUCUGAUUAAGGUGAUUUUGUCUAAUAAAAUUAUUUUUGCAUUGACUAAAGUUCAUCCGUGUCUCUAAAUUUAGUUAAAUAUAUUGUGUUCAUUCCAGGUUUUUAGAUGUUACUGCCGUUAGAAUUUGUAUUGUUUGGUCUCCCCCUUUUUGUUUUCAUGGUGCUGCCCACCUCUUAUGAAUUCUGUGUAUUUUUUGUCUUAAAGUUAGUUAUGGUCCCCUAUGAAAUGAUGUACUCUGGUGGUUGAAUUCGGGCCGCUGCUGUUGUGAGAGCCUAAAGCACCAUUAUGUCCUUUUUUUGGUGUACUGGAUUUUUCCCAUAAGGUAACCUGAAUGGAAGAUGGUGUUUGCAUCUUUUUUUAUCCUCUCUAAUGAGGCUUGUUCACGUUUCAUCUUGCGUAAGCAAGAUUUAAUAAACUCCCAAUAAAAGAC
Molecule: long non-coding RNA, 3166 nt
Organism: Gasterosteus aculeatus aculeatus (three-spined stickleback)
Lineage: Eukaryota; Metazoa; Chordata; Actinopteri; Perciformes; Gasterosteidae
Source: Ensembl